Molecule: long non-coding RNA, 693 nt
Organism: Oncorhynchus keta (chum salmon)
Lineage: Eukaryota; Metazoa; Chordata; Actinopteri; Salmoniformes; Salmonidae
Exons: 5
Source: RefSeq, a predicted model, not a curated record
GGUCACUGGUGCGGGCUGUUCCCUGUCGGGUCACUGGUGCGGACUGUUCCCUGUCUGUCGGGUCACUGGUGUGGACUGUAGUCAAGGGAUUCAUUUCCUCAGCCUUCUGCUUUACAACUAACCCAGUUGUGUCAAGUGCUUCAACAUGUGUUCUGCUCUAAUUCUGUCGACUUAAGAGCCUGAAUGCCAAUGUUCACUCUCUUCCCCCAUCCACACCCCAUAAUCUGUCAAACUCCGUGACAAAGCCUGACUGACUCUAGGCUUCGUCUGUGGUUUUGUUGGGACUGAGGGUGUAUCUACACACAUUCUGGCAGUUCACUGAAAUCCUGGUUUAGUCUCCACACUGCAGGUGAAAUCCUGGUUUAGUCUCCACACUGCAGGUGAAAUCCUGGUUUAGUCUCCACACUGCAGGUGAAAUCCUGGUUUAGUCUCCACACUGCAGGUGAAAUCCUGGUUUAGUCUCCACACUGCAGGUGAAAUCCUGGUUUAGUCUCCACACUGCAGGUGAAAUCCUGGUUUAGUCUCCACACUGCAGGUGAAAUCCUGGUUUAGUCUCCACACUGCAGGUGAAAUCCUGGUUUAGUCUCCACACUGCAGGUGAAAUCCUGGUUUAGUCUCCACACUGCAGGUGAAAUCCUGGUUUAGUCUCCACACUGCAGGUGAAAUCCUGGUUUAGUCUCCACACUGCAGGUG